GGUUACCUCUCACAGUGUGGUGCAGGUGAAUUCAUCCCACCUCCUGGUGAUCAGCAUGGCCUUGUACAGUGACUCAUCUUACGCAUACAACUACACUGGCCCUGUGGAGCUCCCUUCUGCAGAGCAGCUGUACAUCCAGGUGACCCUGCACUGUGAGAACAGCCUGGCCUACAACAUGAGCCUACAGCUGGAGUCCUGCUGGGCCACACAGACUGCAGACCCACAAGAGGAGAAGAAGGCUUUUUUCCUGAAAGGGGGGCUGCCCAAACGACAGAACCUUCCGCUGGUACCUCCAGAGCAGUUCCCCUCAAAGGAAGAGGUUCUCCGUUCAGAUGUUCACCAUGUCUGACCACUCCCACAUCUACCUUCACUGCCUGAGCAGAAUAUGCAGCCAAGAUGAGAACUGCACAACGGUCAGCCAGCAGCCUGGCCUGAGAGCUUCCUGCGUUCACUGCCAGGGAUGUGACAGGCCUCAUCUGAGCCCCAAUCUGUCAGGACACACCCCUUUACUAAAAUUUGGGUUUAGCUUACUGCUAUUGUGAGAAUUUACCAUGCAUGUGUUUACAUUUCAAAAGAAUAUGUCUUCGAUGUUAUCGCUACUUUGUCCAAUGACACGAUAUUAAUAAAACCUUGGGUUUGCA
Molecule: long non-coding RNA, 641 nt
Organism: Anguilla rostrata (American eel)
Lineage: Eukaryota; Metazoa; Chordata; Actinopteri; Anguilliformes; Anguillidae
Exons: 3
Source: RefSeq, a predicted model, not a curated record